GAACGCACAUUGCGCCCGCCAGUAUUCUGGCGGGCAUGCCUGUCCGAGCGUCAUUUCAACCCUCAGAGCCCACCGCUUGCGGUGCGGCGCUGGUGUUGGGGAUCGGCCCGCCUCCGCGCGGCGCCGUCCCCCAAAUACAGUGGCGGUCUCGCUGCAGCCUCCCCUGCGUAGUAGCAACACUCGCAUGCGGAGCGCGGCGCGGCCACGCCGUAAAACCCCCGACUUUCUGAACGUUGACCUCGGAUCAGGUAGGAAUACCCGCUGAACUUAAG
RNAcentral lists this unclassified non-coding RNA (272 nucleotides) under uncultured Stachybotryaceae. RNAcentral describes it as "sequence contains 5.8S rRNA gene". The stretch from base 1 to 53 matches the Rfam family "5.8S ribosomal RNA", at positions 102 to 154 of the family's 154-position model. Lineage: Eukaryota; Fungi; Ascomycota; Sordariomycetes; Hypocreales; Stachybotryaceae. The record is from RNAcentral.